This 484-nucleotide ribosomal RNA is filed under the name uncultured bacterium. RNAcentral's name for it is "partial 16S ribosomal RNA". It matches the Rfam family "Bacterial small subunit ribosomal RNA", at positions 28 to 523 of the family's 1533-position model. The record is from RNAcentral.
GACGAACGCUGGCGGCGUGCUUAACACAUGCAAGUCGAACGAUGAAGCCGGAGCUUGCUCUGGUGAAUUAGUGGCGAACGGGUGAGUAACACGUGAGUAACCUGCCCUUGACUCUGGGAUAACUGCGGGAAACUGUAGCUAAUACCGGAUACGACCCUCGGAGGCAUCUCCUGGGGGUGGAAAGAAUUUCGGUCAAGGAUGGACUCGCGGCCUGUCAGCUAGUUGGUGAGGUAAAGGCUCACCAAGGCGACGACGGGUAGCCGGCCUGAGAGGGUGACCGGCCACACUGGGACUGAGACACGGACCAGACUCCUACGGGAGGCAGCAGUGGGGAAUAUUGCACAAUGGGCGCAAGCCUGAUGCAGCAACGCCGUGUGAGGGAUGACGGCCUUCGGGUUGUAAACCUCUUUUAGCAGGGAAGAAGCGAAAGUGACGGUACCUGCAGAAAAAGCACCGGCUAACUACGUGCCAGCCGCCGCCGUAA